Long non-coding RNA from Rhineura floridana, 671 nucleotides. RefSeq lists it as uncharacterized. NCBI's taxonomy places the organism in Eukaryota, Metazoa, Chordata, Lepidosauria, Squamata, Rhineuridae. The record is from RefSeq and is a predicted model, not a curated record. The transcript has 3 exons.
AACAGCAAUAAGGAAAAUACUAGGUUGUCAUAAUACUUCACAGAAGAAUUUAUUUUCCAUUGAUCUGAUGCUAUUUUGGGAUUUCUGCUUCACAACCUGAUCCUAGGCAAUCAGGAAACACAGCAUGAACUUGGAACAUCAUAUGAGUCCUGCCCAGCUCCCAUCAGCCCCAGCCAGCAUGGGACAUGGUCAGGAAUAAGACAUCUGGAGGACACCAGGUUGGGGAUGGCAAAGUGAACAAAAGGAGAUAGAAGUGGGGGUUUAUGAGGAAAGGCAACUCACAGAUCUCAAAUUAAGAUUAAUUCAAUACCCAGUUCUGUUAUUGUUUCUGUUUUCUCAGAACCAUGGAACAGGCUGCCAUCAGAUUUAGACCCAUGGAAAAUUUUAUUGUAUAUUGUAUAUAUUCUUUUAUUGUAUAUAUUGUAUAUAUUUUUAUUGUAUAUUGUAUAUAUUUAUGUAGGCCCUGAAAGUGUGUUCAUGGUGCUCACACAUUACUGCUGAAAUAUUACACUGCAACAAAGGAUUUGUAGUCUUUAACAUUGAAGUUAACAUUCUGAAUUGAAGUAGGUCUGAGUUUGAAAGGUUCUGCAAAAGUAUUUGCUGUGGAAGUGAUACAAGAAAAUAUUGUGAGAAUAUAAAUAACCUGAGUACAGAGAAUGACAUGAUUUGUC